AGUGAACGCUGGCGGUAGGCCUAACACAUGCAAGUCGAACGGCAGCACAGUGAGAGCUUGCUCUUACGGGUGGCGAGUGGCGGCCGGGUGAGGAAUACAUCGGACUCUACUUUUUCGUGGGGGAUAACGUAGGGAAACUUACGCUAAUACCGCAUACGACCUACGGGUGAAAGCAGGGGAUCUUCGGACCUUGCGCGAUUGAAUGAGCCGAUGUCGGAUUAGCUAGUUGGCGGGGUAAAGGCCCACCAAGGCGACGAUCCGUAGCUGGUCUGAGAGGAUGAUCAGCCACACUGGAACUGAGACACGGUCCAGACUCCUACGGGAGGCAGCAGUGGGGAAUAUUGGACAAUGGGCGCAAGCCUGAUCCAGCCAUACCGCGUGGGUGAAGAAGGCCUUCUGGUUGUAAAGCCCUUUUGUUGGGAAAGAAAAGCAGCAGGUUAAUACCCCGCUGUUCUGACGGUACCCAAAGAAUAAGCACCGGCUAACUUCGUG
RNAcentral lists this ribosomal RNA (492 nucleotides) under uncultured bacterium. Its description in RNAcentral is "partial 16S ribosomal RNA". It matches the Rfam family "Bacterial small subunit ribosomal RNA", at positions 29 to 507 of the family's 1533-position model. The record is from RNAcentral.